Molecule: long non-coding RNA, 1209 nt
Organism: Lingula anatina
Lineage: Eukaryota; Metazoa; Brachiopoda; Lingulata; Lingulida; Lingulidae
Source: RefSeq, a predicted model, not a curated record
CUUUGGGGUAUGUACGGGUCUGAAGCUUAAUUUAAUUAAUUUAAUCUAGUGUAUUUUAAAACAUGAAGGAAACAAAAGCUUCCUGUGCAUUACUUUUUUAGUUCAUUGUUAAUCAAUUUUUGUCUGCCAAAUUAUGGUAAUUGAUAAAUAAAAAGGGUUGUUCUUCCUGCCUCCUACCUUGAUGGAUCAUUUGAAACCUGAAUCCUUGGAAGAGAUGUCACUUCUUCAGUUCCGAGUGACCAGGGUGUGGAUGCUAGGCGGACAAGAUACUAAGAAAACUCACAAAUAAAGCUCAAUUUGGCCUUUCCAUCAAAAGACGAAGAAGACGACCUUGAAAACUCUGUUCACUCCAGGAAAUCUCACAAAGCUCAAUUUGACCUAUCCAUCAAAAGACGAAGAAGACAACCUUGAAAACUCUGUUCACGACCAGACACGGGUGUCGUGCAGUCGUGAGACCUCUGGCGGAGGGAGCUCCUGAGCGGUGCAGUGGUUUGUUUACAAACAAGAGGGGUCCCCGUGAUCAAGUACUGCCGAAACCCACCGAGGUACAGUUCAACAUGCGUCUGCUCGCAGCCUUACCUUUGGUUCACAUUCAGGAACUCUACGCCUAUUCAGGCAUUUAUUUUAUGAGAAUUGAAUAAAUAUAUUUGUCUGGGAUUUCUUGUUAUAUUUUUAUAUGAAAAGUUAUGAUAAUGAUAAUAGUAAUAGAUAGAAAAGGAGUAUGAAGAUAUAAAUAUAAUAACUGUUUUAGCCAUUUCAAAUUCAAUCUACCUAAUAUAAUCUGUAAAUAUUGCCCUUGGUAUUGCUUUGACAAUUUGCUUUGGUACAUGAAAAUAUUUGAAAGUGAAAUGGUUCAAAAGCUUUGCAAACGUACCUUGUAUUAAAAAACGAUAGUAUUUGAGUACUUAAAAAUCUAAAGUCUGCUGCAAGGCUAUAGGUGAACCAAAUGAUUUCCAUAAACACACAUAAAGUGUAAUUACAAACCAGCUUUUUGAAGUUUAAUUUUGUUUCUAAAUUUUUCCAUGUCAUGAUAUUUUCAGUGUACUUUAGAACAAAUUUGCCCAUCCUCCGGAAUAUCAUUUUCUCACUUUUCAUAAUGUAGUUAAUUGCUUUUUUAUAGAACGUUCUUUUGCUACCGCCAAUUUGACUAUCUAAAUACUUGUAUAUAUAAUACAAUUACAAAUCUGAAUAAAAUGAUCAAGUGAAAAA